AGAAAUUUGCGCUAAUACCGAAUGAUGCAGCGGCACCGCAUGGUGAUGUUGUUAAAGUCUAUAUGGCGGCUAUGGAUGAGCUUGCAUCUGAUUAGCUAGUUGGUGAGGUAAUGGCCCACCAAGGCAACGAUCAGUAGCUGGUCUGAGAGGAUGAUCAGCCACACUGGAACUGAGACACGGUCCAGACUCCUACGGGAGGCAGCAGUGAGGAAUAUUGGGCAAUGCCCGCAAGGGUGACCCAGCAACGCCGCGUGGAGGAUGAAUGCCGUAAGGUUGUAAACUCCUGUGAGAAGGGAAGAAAGUGCGGAAUCGAAUUCCGCUUUGACUGUACCUUCAGAGGAAACCCCGGCUAACUACGUGCCAGCAGCCGCGGUAAUACGUAGGGGGUUAGCGUUGUCCGGAUUUACUGGGUGUAAAGGGCGCGUAGGCGGGUUUGUAAGUCAGA
This 445-nucleotide ribosomal RNA is filed under the name uncultured bacterium. Its description in RNAcentral is "bacterial SSU rRNA". It matches the Rfam family "Bacterial small subunit ribosomal RNA", at positions 152 to 592 of the family's 1533-position model. The record is from RNAcentral.